CUUCUGCACUGCAGCGCGAACUGGUUUCCUUGAGUACGUAGGAAGUUGGCGGAAUUCGUGGUGUAGCGGUGAAAUGCUUAGAUAUCACGAAGAACUCCGAUUGCGAAGGCAGCAUACGGCAGCGCUACUGACGCUGAAGCUCGAAAGCGCGGGUAUCGAA
Molecule: ribosomal RNA, 160 nt
Filed under: uncultured bacterium
Lineage: Bacteria
Description: partial 16S ribosomal RNA
Rfam family: Bacterial small subunit ribosomal RNA
Source: RNAcentral